CUUCCUUUCUUUCAUCUUCUCUCUUCCUUCUCUACACCCACACACGCACACAUGACCGAGAGAGAGAGAGAGAGAACGAGACUGAAUGAGAGAGAGAGCUGUUGCUGUCCGAAGAAGAAGAAGAAGAAGAAGAAGGUGAUGAAACACAAUGGGAUUCUAGCCAUGGGGUUAGUGAGGCAUGUAAUGUGAUAUUGGAGGCUUAGGACUGGAUCUAGUCUUCCAAUGUGUGGUAUGAGUAAUCGGAUCGAUGGAGCACUUCGAAAGGAUUACUUGAGUCGUGAGUCAUUUGUAGGCUACAAGACGAUGUUGUAGAUGCAGGUACAGAGACAGUAGAUGAGGAUCCUGUAGCCUUGUAUUUGGGCGAUGUCGGAGGUCUAGAUGCGUUGGAGGUUUACUUUGUUGGACUAGUUGUUAGUCCUCUUUGGUAGAGCAUUCGAGGAUAUGCUUAGAUGUUGGCAUUCGGUAUAUGGCUCGUGUCGCAUGUAACACUUUUGUAUAGCCAUUAUUUUGUAUGUAAAACUUUAUUCACAUAGAUGUAUUAGUUAGCUCUAAUGUGUUAUGUAGGUCUAAUGUUAUUUAUAUUCCGCUGUAAAGAUAUGAACUCUAAUGGAUCAUUGAUGAUGUA
Molecule: non-coding RNA, 625 nt
Organism: Corylus avellana
Lineage: Eukaryota; Viridiplantae; Streptophyta; Magnoliopsida; Fagales; Betulaceae
Source: RefSeq, a predicted model, not a curated record